UUUUUUGGAACAUGUCUAAUUAUUUCAAGUGAGACAUGGCCACCGGUUCUCUAGCGUCCACGACUCUAUUACACUAUACCAAAGUAGAGGCUUCCUCUCUGUUGCAGACAAAUGAGGCACUGAGACAAAUGUCUUGUAGAGAAAUCAUGAUUGAAGAUGCGUAGGAUGCUAUUUGAUUCCUCCAUUUCCUGCAUUGUUUCACUAAACAUGGAUACGAUGCCAUUUCAGGGCACAUUUCAUGCCUGGCUUUUGCAAGAAAUCUUGGUCGUUGAGAGGAUGCUGUAUAGCGGUUGCAAUGCCUUUUUCCAAGUGAUUUUCUUGAUCUGCUUCAUUUUCUAACAAACUGUGAGCCAAUAUCUGAAGAGUCAGAAUAGUUGAUCCCACAAGUUUUCUCCGCUGGUUUAGUCAGCUCCAGAGCCACAGGUGAAGAGCCCCAACAAAAAAAUUUACUGAAUUAGGAACAAACGCUUGCUUAAGUGCUUAGCUAGUGGGAUGAUAACACUUAUAUUAACCUAAUAACCAUAACAUUAGUCUUGUAUAUACAAAACCGAACUAAGAUUAAGAAUUACCAUCUUUUGGCCAAAAUAACUACAAGGAUCAAUCACAAAAAAGGCAUCAGUUACCAUGGUGCAGCAGCUAGACUUUCAAAAUCUUGCCUGGAUUUCACAAUGUCUUCACUGAUAGCAUUAGCAUCUUCUUGUAAAGCAAUAAUCUCAGAAUCUUUCAUCACCUUCAUUGCCACUUUCAUUGCCCGUUGCUCUUCUAUCUCCCUUAACUUCUUGUCAAUUGCAUCAAUAUCUUCUUUCACUUUGGCUUUUUCGUGAUCACACUCUGCAAUCUGAAUGUCAACAUUUUUUGACUGAUCCUGAAGCUGUUCUUGCCUAUCUUUGAUAGACAGUAACUUGUUAAGACGGUCCACAACAGCCUUAACAUCAAAUCCAAGCAUUUCCAGAUCAGCGAGAGUUUCCAAAUAGCUAUAAAAAAGCAUUCUAGGAUCAUCAACGUGCAACUUGGAUGUCUUAUCUACCACAGUGGCGAAGGUCAACAUAUGACCAAUAGCAGAUCCCUCCCGACUUGCCUCUUUACAAUCAAUCAAAGGACUAAAAUGUGGAUUUUGUGGUAGAGAUUGGAAAGCUUCCAGAGACUCAACAUUUUUCCAAAUAGGUGAGCUCUUCACAAAAGGAGUUGUUUGAAUCUUCACUAGGUCACUGUCUACUAUAACAUUUAUUGCAGAAGAUUGUGUGAAUUCGUCAGCUUGUCUUUCUUCUUUACCUUCAGGCUCAAAGCCUAUUACUGUACACAAUUCUGCCUCUUCAGCUGUACAAUGUUUAAAAUUCAUUUCAUUAGCACCAUCUCCAGCUACAUUGUGCAGUUCACCUGCUUUCUGCUGCUGAAUUGCAUCACUUUCUUUCUGUAGAUUAAUCUCCUCAUCAAGAAGCUGGUAAGAAUUUUCUGGAUAUGAGCCCUUUCUCCCCUCAGCUAAGGCACCAGAAGAUUCAGCAUCUUUUUCUAUAUGGUCAACUUCAACAAUAACUUCAGAAGAAUCUCCUUUUGUCAUGUCCUCUCUGCCUGCUGCUGUAUCCCACUGGCUUGUAACUUGAGAAUUCAGUUCCCCUUUUAUCACAGAACUUUUCAUUUCACUAUUUAGUCCAGCUUCUUGUUGAUUAGGCUCAAUGUUCUCUCCCCUGAAUGGACCUUCAGACCCAGCAUUGUCAACCAAUUGUUGGGUUGAGCAUUUAGUUAGUGCGCUGUCUGUGACUUGCACUUCUUGAUUUGUUGUCUUGAUUGGUAUCAACUUUGCAGGACAUGCUUGUGGAGACAAAGGGUUUGCAGACUUUCCCCUUUUGAACUUCUUGGAAGGGCAUGAUAGUUCAUCCUCAAUCUUAGGUGCUCUCUUAUUCACUUUCUUACUUGUUGAUUUUGCUUCACAAGGGGUUGAAUGCUCUAAUAAGUUCUUCCUUGAAUUUUCGCAUGAGGAUUUUCCUUCUGAGUGAUCCCAUUCUGCAGUUGAACUCUCAAUAUGAAUAGCCACCUCAGGGCUUUUGGCAUUGUUGUCAACAUGGGUUGAAUGUUCUUUGCAUUGUAUACCAAUUGAUACAUCCCUGGAAUAACUAACCCAUGAGCCAUUCAUCAAGUGCAGGUGUGGCCUUAUUUCCGAUUGGCUGAAUUGCUUCUCCACAUUUGCGUGUUUUAGAAAGAUGUUAUACCUUCCAUCUGUAAGAAUUUUGGUGAUGAAGCCAUCCCUCCAACUUGAAUCAUAGAAAGCAUCUACUGUUUCCAAUAUCUCAAAAUUUUUAACCUCCAAGUUAGGAGGGGGAGACCGAAUAUGGAAGGAAUCAACAAUUUCUCUCAUAAGGCCAUUCUCAUCAUUGUUUCUUGAGCUGCCACACUCCACCAAGAAAGAAUUGAAGCCAACUUCCUCAAUAACAAUUGCUGGGAACCAAGCAUCUUGAAAAUUUUCCUUGUUGAGGCUCACUUCCACAGCCAUUCCUUUUCCAAACUUUAACCCUUCCAUUCUCUUCUGUUUUGGGGGUCGAACCCAGUUGCCAUCAGUCCAAACCCAGUGAAACCUCAAAUCUGCAGAGCAAAAGUCGAACUGUUCAGGUGGGUUUUCAAAGAUCACAGUGUACCUCUUGGAAUUGUCCUUCUCCAAAACUUGAACUUUAACGACAACAGCCUUCCACCACCCAUCACGGUGGAAGGCGUCAACGACGUCGUGCGGUUCAAAAGACUGAUCAAUGUCGGGAGGCGGAGGCAGAGGCCUAAUAUGAGAAGCAUCGACGAACUCGGUCAAUCGCUCGUUCUCGUCAUUGUCGGUAAUUAAUUCAUGAUACUGAACCAAUACCUUGAAUUUUCGCUUGGCGAAGGUUUUCCUGGAAGAAAAGGGUGACUUGAGGAUUGUGGCCACGUACCAUGCGCCUUUGAACCCUUCGUCGUCGCUGCUCACCUCCACUUGCGAACCCACGCUUAAAAAAUGGGUCUUUCUCUCUAUGUUUACGUCUUUGCGCUUGCCAGCCAUGGCUCUGAGCUGUGCCUUGGGACUAUUCUUUCGGGUGUGUUUGGAAAGAAAGAAACAUGCACAGAGG
RNAcentral lists this unclassified non-coding RNA (3086 nucleotides) under Hevea brasiliensis (rubber tree). The record is from RNAcentral. Lineage: Eukaryota; Viridiplantae; Streptophyta; Magnoliopsida; Malpighiales; Euphorbiaceae.